RNAcentral lists this long non-coding RNA (27869 nucleotides) under Heterocephalus glaber (naked mole-rat). RNAcentral describes it as "lncRNA (ENSHGLG00100052526.1)". The record is from RNAcentral. Lineage: Eukaryota; Metazoa; Chordata; Mammalia; Rodentia; Bathyergidae.
GGAAAGGGGUUAAAAGGAGGAUGUGUUGUGUACAUGCACCGACUCCACACAAGGAAAGUAAGCAUUAUGCACUGCAAACAUGUACUAAUAAAAACUCUAGCGGUUAAGUUCAUUACGCUUUUUUUUAAGUUCUUUUAUUCGUACAUUUUAGGGAUACAAUUCAUUUACAUUUAUCAUUGGGUGUUUGUACCUGUACAUGAUGUGUCUUGGUUCUUAUUUUUUCCCCAUUACCUGUGCACCUCACCCCCUCCGCCCUUCCGUAUUUACAUAGGUUUCAUUUCCAUUUUUUAAUCUUUUCUCAUAGUUUUUCCUUUCCCUCUUUUCCUUUCCCCUUCCCCUCCCUUCACCCCUUCAUCUUUGGACCUUUUUUCCGAUUUCAAAUUAUCAAUUAUUCAUUUUAAUCAUUUUAACCUUUGUUUACACUUUCAGUUUCUCACACUAGUGAAACUAUUCGGUAUUUGCACAUGUGUGUCCCAUUUAUUUCACUUAAGAGUAUGGCCUUGAUAUGCAUCCAUUUAGCUAUAAAUGAUCAUACCACAGAGAUAUAUGUGCACCCAUGUUCAUAGCGGCACAGUUUGUAAUAGCUAAAGCUUGGAAACAUCCCAAGCACCCAUCAACUGGAAACUGGAUAAAGAAAAUGUGAUUUUUUUUUUAUAAGAUGGAGUACUACUCAGCCAUAAAGAACGAAAAACUAAGUUCAUUAAUCUUAAGGAUAUUUUCAGCUCAUACAGAGACUGCAAGAAUGUAAGAGAAAUAAUUGGGAAUAUUUUAAAUUACUAACUUGCUAAGCAUUUUUCAAGGGUUAAAAGGUUUAGAGGAUAAAUGCUUAUGACUAUGUGAUGCAUACAGCACAUGUAAAAUUACAUACCUUAUUUUCAUGUUUUAUUGAAUGUAUUCCUUUUACUGGAAUUUAAGCUUCUUGAAGAUGGCCAACUUGAUUUGUCAGUAAUAUUAUUCUGUGUGCCUAGAUUAGAAUGGUUUUGCUACUCAUAGCAGGUGUUCAGCAAAUGUUUGUUGAAUAAAUGAAUGGUAGGCAUUCCACCAAUAUUGUGUUCACUAUUUGCUUAUUAGUGAACCACAAAGGCAGUAAUGUGAUAAAAUUUUUAUUCAUUUAUUUAACAUAUUAAAGGAGUGUCUAACACAUAGUAGGCACUCAGUAAGUAUUUGAUGAUUGGAGAAAUGAAUUAGUAUUCCAGUAUGCUCAAGGAUGAAUUUUUAAAUAACUACGAAUCUGCCAGAGCUUGGCUAACGAAGCACCAUAAACUGGGUAGUUUAAGCAACAGAAUUUUUCUCUCACAGUUCUAGAGGAUGGAUAUCCAAAAUCAGGGUGUCAGCAGGAUUGGUUGCUUGUGAAACCUGUGAGAGAGAAUCUUUCUCAUGCCCCUCACCCAGCCUGUGGUGAUUUGCUGACAAUCUUUAGUGUUCAUGGACUUAUAGAAGCAUCACUCCAAUCUCUGCCUUCAUCUUCACAUGACAUUCUCCCUGUUGGUAGCAAUAAAUUGUAGAGCUCACUCUACUGCAAUGCAACCUCAUCAAAAUUAGUCACAUCCACAAUGACCCUAUUCCCACAUAUAGUUAUGUUCUGCAGUACUUGGGGCUAGAACUUUAACCUAUGAAUUUGGGGGGCACAUAUUCAGCCAUAAUACUAAAAUAACGCAGAGCUUCAGGUAGUAACAUUUUGAUGGAUGACAUCUAUUUGAAAAACUUCAGCUUCUCAAAAUAACAUCUAGUUUUAUGAUUCUAUAUGGAAAUUGAUAUAGUGGUAUUAAAUAGCUUUUACUAUGUUAUGCAAAAAUGUGUGUCUGUAGAGAAACACAAAGAAGUCCAAGGAGCCUAACUGGAUAGCACAUUUUCUUCGAUGCUAAGUGGCCUAAUGUGACCAGUGGGUUAUGUGGAAAAGGCUGCUGAGAGGUUUCCAAAAACAUUUGUAUGUGAAGCAAAGGGGUUUGGGAUUUGGCUUUAUUUUAAAAACAUGAGAGGACCAACAUAGAAGUCAAUUGAAUGGUAGAACAGUGUACAAAUGGUAAACUUUAUUGAAUAUAAAUUUUACCUCAGUGAACCCUACUUUGAAAAGGAUUAAAGAAAACAACGUGGUAGAAGAAUGCACAUGGGGACAAGCAACUCAGAAGGUUUUGGUACCAUUUUACCACCAAAGCUACUGCCCUGAGUCCCCUCAGGCUUCAGAGACACUUGCCUUCAAAAUAAAAUGUAUAAAAAAAUAAAACAAACAAAAUCUGUAAAGUUAUUGUAUUAAAGAAAAAUCAUACUUAUAAAAAAAAAAUGAAAUUGCUAAUGCCAGCCCCUUUAGCAGCUGUGGAAGCUGAUCAAAACUGGGCUGAUCAUCUGCAAGCCUGUGACUGUCCAUUUCCAGGCUUGAUGCCAGAAAAACUCCUGGGCCCAUUCUAAGGACAGGUACAAGAGCACGGGUAAGCUAAAGGGUAAGACUGAUUCCCAAAUGGUGGCAGGAAAGGAAUCCUAGAUGAAGAGGACAUACACUCCAUGGGCUUCUGGGAAGAUAGCUAGUUUCAAGGAAGAUAGGCCACAUGUGUAGGUGAAGGAGAAUAUGUCCUAAAGUGAGCAGAUUCUCAGGGAACACAUCUACAAGCUGAAGGCAGACCAGGUCCACAAGGCCAUGCCAGCAUGUCAGCAAUGGGGAGCACCUCCUGGCCAAAAAGGAAAUGAUCAUUAAUACUGUCAAAGAAGUCAAAGACCAAGAAAUAAAGCACUCCCUCUUCUUUUGGUACAUUGCCUUGGUGGUUACACCAGUCAUUGGAAUAAAACAAGCCUUUCUCUUCUGGCUGAAAAAGAAAGAAGCAGAACAAGAAGAAGAGGGGAUUUUCUUGUGUGUGAAGUUGACAAAAAAUAGUUUAAUUAGAAACACAGAGAAACCAGAUUUCAAUAGGUUGAGGAAUAAAUGAGAGUUUAGGAAGCUUAAAGUUACCACAAAGUAGGAAAAGAUCUGAUGCAUAGCAGAAGGUUUCUUGUUUGUUGCUUAGUAUGAGGACUGCUAUCUUUGUUUGUUACUUAGUAUGAGGACAGCUAAAGCAUGUUGGCGGGCAGUGGGAAAAUUGAAAAUAUGAAAAGAAGGAAGGAAUAACUGAUGCAAUAAGAUUGACUGUGGAGAAGGUCAUCAGUGCUGGAGAGAAGGAUCUCUGAACUGUUAUAAAUGGGUUCAGUGUCGGAGGUCACGUUAUUAGCCAGAGGUGAAAAGUAGGGGAACAGUUAUAAGGAAUGAAAUAGUGAAUGAAACUGGAAAAAAGAAAUUGACUAAGAACAAAAUAAAGAGUUAGAAAGUAGUUCUGAUACUGUAGAUCAACCUGAAAACCAUAAUUCUGAGAAGCACCAGACUGUACAGUUUUGAUUUUUCCCCAGCAUUGCUUAACAGUCUAGGAGCUGAGGAAGGAACGUAUUAUCAGAUUCAUUUGGGCUCAAGAACUAGGUAAUUGCAGUUGAGAACCAUAGAUAAGGAAAAUGAUGGAACAGAUGAUGUCAUUAAAGUUAAAAACUCUGAGGGAAGAAGAAAUUAAAGAUUAAUAGUCUGGGAGAAAAAGGGAAAUAAUGAAAACUAAAAAAGUCAUAGUAAAAAAGGUAGAGUACUUGUUUUGGGGGCAAAAUGUCUGAAUAAGGAAGCUGCCCCUACCACACAUAUGUUUUGCCACAAAUCUCAGAAAACCACAGAAAGUGGGCUGAACUCUUUGGAGAACAUAGACUUGACUCAAAAAACAGCCUGAUGGUCAGGAUUUCCUUCCUAUUUGCCAUUAAUUUAAAAGGAACAGUGUUACUCCACUUUAUGUUAUUGUAACAAAUACCUGAGAUUAGAAGCUUUAAAGAGGAAAGGUUUAUUUUGACUCACAGUUUGGAAGUCUCAGUCCAUGACCAAUUGUCCUCAUUGCUGUGUGCCUGUGGAGGCACAAUCUAUGGAGAGUGUGAAGAGAGAGUGUGUGGAAGAGAAAGCCCAUUCACCUCAUCACUGGGAACAAGAGACACAAAGACGAGGAUCCAGGGUCCUAAUAUCUUCUUCAAAAGAAUGUUCCCAAUGUCCUAACUUCCUUCCACUAAGCCCCACAUUCUAAAGGUUCCACCAUUUCCCAGUAGCACCAGGGGCUGGGAACCAAGCUUUUAACACUUGGGCCUUUGUGACACAUUCAAGACACAAAUUGUAGCAGUAACCAUCAUUAACAUCAUUAUCACAGAAUCCUAAUCCUUAGGGAAAGAAUGUCACCUGUGUAUGUAAGAGGAGAAGAAAUAGGAGCCUUCCAUGGGAGAGUAGCAAUCAGCUUGACAAGAGACAAAUGUUUUUUCUUUUUACUUCAGAUUCCAAAAGUGUAGUUAUGUUGUCCUAAAGGUGUGUUCUUUCAUUUCUCUUAUUUUAAGGUUGUUAAUUUAUUGUUCUGUAGUCUCCAGAGCUGCCACCUUCUCUUAGUCUUCACCCUUCUUUUCUUAUUUCUCCUUUGUCCUGUCAGCCUAUUUUUAGGCAUUGAAAAUUGUCAUGUGUCUCAGCAACCUUCCUGUACUCAGUGUCCAUAUAAAAUAUUCCCAUAACCUUAGUAUUAAAUUUUGCCCCUAAAAGACUGGGCUAAGAAGUUGGAGGUUUGUUAGAGAAUACUUUCAGGUUCUUUGCAGAGGACCCUGUAUAGCUAAUCUGUCAUGCCCUAUGAAUUCUGAUGAACCUAGGUGUCUCUCUAUAGUAUUCAUAAGAAGAAUUCUGCUCCUAUGGGCCCUGUCUCCAUAUGUCAGCCUUACAAAGUAACCAACCAUGUUAUUCACUGUAAGAUACCAUGCUCUAGUUAUCCUUUACUUGCUUGAGUAGACUAAGAUGAACAUAAUAUACAGAGUUUAAUAGUUUCCUAAACUCUGAAAAUUCCUAAGCUUCUUCUCUUGGUGCUUUCUAUAUAUAAGUUCAAAAAACAGCUUUGGGAGAAUUUCAAUAAGCAAUUCUAAAGAAAUCUUUAUUUUUUUCCAAAUAAAUUCUUGUAGAAUUCCGUUUUUCCCCUGUUUUUUUUCCAACUUCUGAUCCUAUUAUAGCUCUUUCCAGCAAUGCUAAAACCCAGCCGGUCUGGAGAUUAAUAUGACCAGACAUACCAUGAAUUUUUUAAAUCUCACAAGUCCCAGUUUCUCCUUCAUCAAUCAAAUAUAGGUUGUGUGUGUUGCAGUAUAUUAUCAUAAGUCUUCCCUAAAUUCUUUUUUUCUUCCUUUUUUUGUCUCACUGUCCUCUAAAUUAUUCCUAAAUGCUUCCUAUUAUAAAAAGGUAGAAGAACCUGAAGAACAGAGAAAGAAAAUGAUUUGAUGGAAGUUGGAAAGAGAAAGCAUACUAGGAAAAAGAGGAAACCAAUGAGGAUAUGGAAAAAGUAGUGAUUUCCUUUUCUCCUACUCCCUCCAGACCCCUUUUAGGUUUUGUUUUGAUACUUUUAUUUAACCUAAUGCCCUCAAAUGACCUAGUCCUAGAAGUUUGUUCCUAGCAACCUGUACAGCACGUCUUCUAUUUUCCCAGCAGACUGAACUCUCCUCUCCGGAGAGUUCUCCCAAGCCCCUUAUUCAUAGACUCGAAGAUUUGAACCAAUUGCCAUUAAUUCCAUGUACACUUUAUACCAUGCUGGCAUGGAGAGUGUUAAUAGCUGAUGUAAUUCUGAAAGAACUUAAGCAACAAUUUGGUUUUACUUUAUUAUCAUUCAAAAUAUAAACAGGUAAACUACAUGUUGAAUUCAUUAAAUUCUUCCUGCACUGUUUAGAAAUAUGAAAACUGCAUUUUUUAAAAGGGGACUGAUUGGUGUCAUGUACGUAUUUGUUCAUUUCUGUUUAUGCAAGAUAAUAAGAGUAUUAACAUGGAAGAGGAAUAAUGGUAUUUAUAAUUUCAUCACUACUGUUUAUAUAAGAUGAAAAUGUCUGAAAAGAAAUGGGGAGAGAGUACUUGCUGCUCUCUAUAUACAUUAAAUUACUCUAUUUUUAUUGAUAAGGCAUGUGAGAAGAAAAACAAGUUUAACAACCUAAAGAAAAGUUAAUAUUCUUUAAUUCAUAUUCACUAACAUUAACCUAGGGUGGCUAGGUUCAGAAAAUGAAGCACUAAAAUGUAAUGGAGGGGCUACCUCCUUAUAAAGGAAAAUGAGCGCCAGAGACAUGUGCUUUACUAAAUCCUCUCUGAGACUGAAACUGCUUGAGUAAGAUUAUGGUCCUCUAUUGAAUGCUGAAGUUUCUAUCCUAGGGAAUGGUAAGUGACAUCAGGAAGACCAGUGACUUAUAAUUUGCCUGUAUCUUGAGAUAUGCUUCCUAGGGCCUGAAGCCCCAUUAAAGAUUCCAAAAAAAAAAAAAAAAAAAAUACUUUAGGUCAGAUUUUAAGAAUCCAUUUCAAAAAUUAAAUAGUUCUAGGUAGACUUUUAUAAUAUUUCUAUGGUAGUUUCAAAAAGAAAGAUCUGGGACUAGAGAAGAGGUUUCUUAGGAUGUACAUUUAGGAUGUCAAAUUAGCUGAAUUGUUAAUAUAAUCCAUAAAAGGUCAAGUCAUUCAUGAGGGUUUAAUGAUUAUCACAGGGCAACUGAGGGAAAAAAGCAAAUGAAGAUAAACAGGAGUUGUUUUGUGCUGGUUAUUAUAUUUAUGAUAUUUUUCUCAAGUGAAAAUGGAGGCAUAAAUUCUUUCAAAAGAGUGAAUUAGAGUGGAAGGUCCUUGAGGGAAGGAGCAGAACCUCCUUCACAAAGUAAUAAGUAAUAGGUUCUAAAAAAAAAUCUGCUAAAUUAAUGAAUGGCUCCAUUUAAAAAUAAUUUUCAUAUUCUCCUUUAUCUAAACCAACUAUCAAGGUAAGUUUAGGAACUUUACUAGGCUCAGUUAAGAAAGAGUUGAUUUUCAACAAGGACAUAAAGUCAUUAAUUUUUGUAAUUCAUUCUUUUUAAUCCCCAUUCACAUUCCCAAUUCUGUUCACCCCAUAUUGUAUUGUUAAUGGAACUAAUCCUGUAUGAAAGUGAUGGGGUAUGAAGCCAGAAAGGUAGUGAGAUGUGUAUUGUAUUGGGCCUUAUAGCCCCUAGUAAGGGUUUUGGGAUCUCAACCAUCGAAGAGCCUGAAAAAUUCUAAUGGGUAGGAGGAAAUGGAUAGGAGAUUGCUGUUGAAAUCACAGCAACCCUGUCAUUGUAGGAUGACCGGAUGAGGCAAUUUCCACUGAAGGCUGGAAGUAUGGAUUUAGUAGCUUGAUUUAGGCUAUAUGUCAAAUAUGACAUUCCCAGCUAGUGUAAAUAAAGGCAAACUGUGCCUCACUGAACUUUCCAUUUGUGCCUUAUCACCAGUUUUACCAACCUGACAGUCCCAUUUGGCAGCCAUACCUAAAAGAAGCUCAAAGAAUAGUAGCAAGUGUGCUUUAGAAAUUUCAAAAGAUCUCCAGUUCCAACCAUAAGCUUUAAGACGAUUAAAACAAGAAUUUUAAAUAUUAGGUAGAUUUUCAUUUGUAUUAAUUGUUGCUAUGCUAGGAAUUAUAGAAUUCCCGGGCACUUAAUGAUGUGUGCUUAAGUCACUUUGCAGAAGAAUUAGAGGUUGAAAGUCCACACAAGAUGUACACUCUCUGUGAUCAAGUCCUAACAAAGCAAGCCAAUUUACUGCAUGUCCUUUUGAGAAGGGAGAGAUGUGAUAAUUUUCCUAAAAUGGGACAUUCAGAAGAGGUCAUUUUCUUGUCUGUUUUUAUCUAAAUCUUUUAAACCCUGAAGCCAUGUACUAGUAGAACUGAGGGAAAUAGCCUAGAAUUUUUCUUGUCAUUUACAGAGAUGACAGACUUUAAAAUCUGAUGGCUUUUUCAAAAGCUUCUAACAAGACCUAGAACUUGCCUGGCUCCAUUUAUCUAGCCAAGAGACAUUUUUAUGAUUUAUCCAUAGAGGUUUUUAGAAGAACCUUACAUAUACUGUCUAAAUUAAUGAUAUUCCUUUCUCUUUCCAUGACAAAAAGCACUCUACACUAUAUACAUUAUGCUAAAGGUUUUUUUUAACAUGUGGACAUAUUCUAUAAAAGCAUUUUCAGUUUCAUCAUGUUGACAAGCUGAUUCUAUUAAAUCACCCACCAUCAUCAUGUUCACUUUUUUUCUUCUUUUUUGAAAAGUUAGAAAACAGUGAUCACAGAGUUUUCAAGGCAUUCACUUUGGCUAAAAUAAAUCCAGAAAAACAUGAGUCUGUUCCUUGAACUGGAAAGAAAGAUAUGUCAUUCUCUCUUCAGUCUUUCUCUUAAAACUACUUAGGAUAAGGAAGGAGGCCAUAGCUCUUUUGAAAAUUUUUCCAGAAAACUGAGAUUUUUAAAAUGUUCUGAACAUAGAUCAAAUGUUUCUACCUCAUUAUUUAUUAUGUAUUAUUAUUUGUUACUUAAAAUAGGCAGUGCAAAACAUUGAAUGAAUGACAUGAAAGGGUUUCAUUCAAAGAUUUUUGACUAUACACCCUCAGAUAUAUUGCUAUUCAAUAAUAUUUUAGAGUCACGCUGCUGUUUUGAAUUAGGGCAGAAAUAUCCCUACUCCUCCCAACCCUGUGCUUUCCUUACUGAGAGAGAAUAAUCAUAUGAUCACGCUGCUGCUGGAUCAUUUAAAGCAUUGAGUAGAAGUGUGAAAUGAGAGAAAAAAUGCCCAGUAUGGGGUUAAUUAGCUCUGUGGAGUUGUGGGUGGGUCACUUCCUCAGGACCAAAUCAUGCAGGAGGAACUAUGCAUAUGCAGACUUACAGAAUAAAAAGAAAGACAUAAACCUUCAGACUCUGGGGCACAAAUUGAUUGGAAACAAGAAAGGAAGUCUUAUGUGCUGUGAGUCCUUUGGGCUCCAUUGGUCAGAGACAAAUGGUCUUCCCUUAAAGUGUCUGGUACAGGCCACUGUCAGACACUGAAAAUAAAUCCAUGGUUUAAGAAAGCCCUGGCAAAAGUGACUAUUUUUUUUAAUUUACCUCUGUUGAUCCUUUAUAAAUUAAUAUCUUCUCAGUUUCCUUUAAUGUGCCUUAUUUUCCAGGUCUUAUCUUGGAAACAACCUAAUUUCUUCCUUAAAGCAUGGGUGAAGAAUCUUUUAUGAUUUCAUCAUUGUGUCUCACAGACUGCUACUGGUUCCCUGCCUGCGGAGAUCAGUUCAGCUAUAGUUUGGCCUGAGGGAUUCCUACUAGGUUGUUUACAGCCUAAUCUUUUCAUGAAGUGGGAGGUGAAAGAGCACACAGAAAACAUUCUCAGUUCCUAGAUCCUUAAUAGGUGACUACAAGAAUUCAGAUGUUUACAAGGAAAUCUCACCAGCCAGGUUUUCCAGGACAGAAAGGCAUUGUAAAAUCUCAUUGAGAACUUGCUAACAAAAACCAGGAACCAAUGGACAUAAACCAUAAGAAAAACACUUUCGAUGAAUAUGUUAAUUAAGUUUCAGUGCAAACCAUUUGUGUUUUUUUGUUUCUACCCAAAUUACCCUGACAUUAUUUAGAAGAAACUUCAUAAAGUAUAUGGACAGAAAGUCCCAAAAUGUUCAUAACUUUUGAAAGGAAACAUAUGAUGUAUGCAUAUUUCUAUAGAUAUUUUUAUUUGAUCUCAAAUGGGGAAGCAGAUGAACAGCUGGAGAAUUUAAAGAGUCUGGGACAGAACCCACUACCACCACCACCCUCUCCCCCCACACAAACACCAAAUAUUUCCCUCAUUACCUGUAAAAUAAACUUGAAUGUAGAUCUUGCAAUGACAGUUAAGAAAAUGCAAAUUCCUUUAAGAGGAAGUAUUAAAACAAUUGCAUUAAUACAUUUUUAGAAAACUGAGAGAAGGUUGUGGUUGGGGAGGAUAGAGAGCUGACUGAGAAUGUCUCCAAAGAAACAGUCCCAGUCACUUUUGUUCCUUUUUCUUUAGCUGCCUGAUGAUAGGGAUGUGGAUGUGGAAAUAAGAAGAGAUGGAAGGAGGGAGACGGAAUAAUAAGCUUUAUGAAUUCUAAUAACCCAUGUUAUCAGCUUAUUGUGUCACAGCUUUUCAAAAUUCAAGUUGCUAGUUAGCUUGACAACAUUGCUGUUCAGUUCAUUCCUGUCAUUUGAAAAACAUAAGCAAUGGCUACAUGCACCACCCAUUAUCCUAGUGAGGUUGUCAAAGUUAGCUUUAUGCUGACUUUAUUUUCUGUAGUUCUACUGAACAAAAUGUUUCUUUUGAAAGGUUUUAGACCUCUAUCCUCCCAACUCCUGAUCACAGUAAUAAUCAACCUCAAGAAGUCAUUAGUGAAAACUAGAACAAUCUCCUAUAACAAGUAGAUGCAGAGAAAUUGGCAUAGUUUGUGUCUUUGAUUUGUGUUCUUAUAAAAAUAAUGGGUUGCAAGAUAAAACUACAUUUUUCUCUCUCUGUCUCUUUUUUAACUGGAUCUUUAGAAGUUACACUGGAGCUGAGGUUUUGUUGUUUCCCCCCCCCUUACAAAGGUGGAAUAAUGCUCAAAGGUUUUAAUAACCAAAGUCCAUCUUUAGAAAUAGCUUUCUUCUAUAAUGUACUGCCAAUUUAUUAUGUGUGUGUAUUUUGACCUUCCUGCUUUGGGCUGCCUGUUGAUUGGUACAUGUUAGUGCUUUGCUUAUAAGAGUUGGGCAAUAGUUCAGUGAUCCAGUCCAAAUCUGGGCCAUAGAUAGAAUGGGCUCAUCUUCUAUUUAAGAAAUGUGGCAAACUGCUUUAAAUGCAUUUAGUUCAGACAAGGUCAUUGAAACUGUUCAUCUGACCCUGUGUGCUGUAUGUAAUGGACACUUCUACUGAGCUCCAAAGCUGCAAGGUAAAAGGACAAGAAAGCCAGUAACUUGCCACCCUGGCUAGAGCUUCUCCGGGAGUCUGUUAUUGGAUUUGCAUUCUUAAUCAUAUGGGGCCCACGUUGGUCAUUUAAAGGAGUUGUUCUAUGGUUCUUUUGCUGUCUUUGAAGAUAGUCCUGGGAAUAAUAAAAGUGAGUUCUUAUAUACUGAACUUUUUCUAACUUUUUCUUUAAUUGGAAAUUGAGUUUAUAUGCAUAGUCAGUACCAAGUUUAUGAAAUAUUCAGCUAAAUUUCUUAGAUGUAAACUAAUAAAUUGUUAAAAUGUUUUCCUCUAGCUAAUCAUUAUGUCAAAACUAUAAUAGAUUCAUGUACAUUUUUCUCCAAUUUUAUUUGUGUCAUAUGCACUUGCCAAACUGAAAUGGUAUAGAAGUACCAUAUACAGUAUUUUGAAUUUAAUAGCUAUCUGUAUUGCCUAAUCCUUUUUUAAUUUUACAGUGUAUUUUACUAACCUGUGGCUCUGUAUAAUUUUUAGGUUUAACAUGUUAUAGGACUUUGUAGAAUCAUAUGGAGCAAAUCAAGUCUAGAGAGGUUAUUGAAUUCAUCCCCCUGACUGGAGAAAGAACUGCAUUUAUUCCAUACUAAAUAGAUAAAGAUCUUUCCUAUCUUUAAAGAGCUAUGAAGAAAGAAAUUUUCUAACUUCUCUUACCAAUCUAUUUGAUUAUUUAGCACUUUCAUAUUUAAAAUGUUCCUCUUAAAGUCUUAAAUUCUUCACUGGACAGUUUAAUAUCAUUUUGCCUUAGGACAAGAAUGCUGAUCAUUAUCCUCUUUGUAAACAGAAAACUAUGACAAAUAUACAUUAGCUCUUUUUUCCCUAAGCUAAAUUAUCCCAUUAAAAAAAUUUACUUUUGCUCUUAUAACUCUUUUCAGUGGCACAGGGGACUAUUUUAAAAACUUCUGUCAUAUAUGAUGUCUCUGAGAAAGGCACUGCAUAUUUUAAUUUCACCAUGCUGAUGUGGAAAUAGCCACAGCUUGUUCAUUAUAUCCUGAUGGACAGAGCAUUUGUGUUCAUUUAACCUUGAGGUUUAAACUUGUUCCCAAAAAAGUAACUGACUCAUAGCAUUGGCUAGAGCCAUGAAUAAAGAGCAUCAGUUUUCCUAAUCUUUAAGCUCAUCUUGCCCUCACUCCUAAAAUGCACUAAAAUUAACUUUUCCUUGACCUCUCUCUGGUGCUAUUUAUUUACUGAUUUAACAACUUUUUUUUCUAUCAUCUUUGUCUCCUAAAAUAGAUGGACGGCAUUUAUUCAACAAACAUUGGAGUGUCAUGCUGUGUUUAACACACUAUGCUAGGCUUUGAGAUUCAAGUGUGAACUGUUAGCAAAGGCUCAGAGACAUAGAUGUUCUCACAUGCUCAGGGAGGAGGAAAUGGGCUGUCACAGUAUAUAAAGAAACAAUGGAGGAAAAACAAUUUUAAAAACUGGAGAGAUGGGGUGGAGCCAGAUUGUGAAAAGCCUUAGAUUCUCUUAAACAUCUAGGAGGUAGUGACAGAAUGAAAGUAACUUUUUCCAAUCUAUAUUACAGAACACUCUUUCCAAAUCUUUAGAACAGACUUUGCCCAUGUUGUCCUCAUGAUUUAAUAGCUACACAUCAUUAGGUACAAGUACCGACUUAAUUUAUAUAUUUUGAUAUAACUUUAGUGAUGUAAUUUUGCUUGUUGUAUUGUUUUUAAACCAUUUGAGGGAACCAUUUGAGUAAAGAGAGUCUUCUGUUCACACUGAUCUGAAUGUUUCUUUCUCCCUCCUGCUGUGCUCAUAUUUAUUCCAAAGCCCUCUGUGCCGCUAAUAUGUUACUUUCUGUGUUUAUACACCAAGUAAACUUGGGAUAAGCUUGCCCUGUAAUAGGCAUAAUCUCUUUGUACCAAACGACAUUAAUGGUAGAUUGUGAGCAGAAUUACAACCAAGUGCCUCUGAUUAGACCACCUGAUAGCAUCACUCGGAUGCUUCAGAGUCACCUAAAGAGUAUCAAUUUACUGUUGAGUCAAAGAUCAUAAUACAUCAAUCCUUCUGAAAUCUAUAAAGCUACAACCUCAGGAAUUUGAGAUAUGGAGAGAAAAGUUAUUUGAAAUCAGAUUAUAAAGUCUUCCUAAAAAUCAUAAUGCUAAAGGUUUGGGUCUAUUUUAGGAGCUAAAAUCAUGCUAAAUGUAAAGAGAGGUAAGGCCCUAACCACCCCUCCCAGCACUACAGCUUUCUAGUUUCUCAGGCCCCUGUACCUGUAAGAAUCAGGAAGGGUAGGAAGACUUGUGCAAGGUGGAGUGGAGUGUUAACAUUGUAUCUUGGCAAUGUCUCAGUUUCAGAAAUAGUCCCAGGCCUACUUGCUGAACUUCGGUUUUAAAAUCCUCUCUCUCUAUUGAUCAUUAUUUUAUUCAUCAUCUAAAUUGUUGAAUGUAGACAUCUUUCAGGGUUGUAAUCAUAGCAUCUUUAUGAUUCCUUUAUCAUUCGUCUGAAAAUGAAUCCAAAAUAAUACGAUCUUGAAAAGCAGACCUUAAGGUAUGAAUGACCAUUUGUGGCACACAUAGUCUUUUAUGACUGGCUAAAAGAAAUGAAAAUACCUAAGAAACUUAUUCAUAAGAGAUGCUAAAAGAACUAGUAGGAGACUGUGAAUGCUCUGUAUGAACAUUUGAAUAAGCUUUGUCUGACUUUAACUUGUAAACUUUUGCUAGAUUAGAGAAUUAAAAACUCCUGAAACCAAGAUGUAUGAAAUGUCAUUAAAUCUAGCACAAAAUUUCUUGAAUAUGUCAGAUAAAGGAAAUCAUAUAUCCAGAGUGAAGAUGGAAUAUCAGUUGACAAGAAUCUACAUAGCACUUACUCUGAGGCAUAUGAAUCUAAAAAUCCAAUAAUGUCUUACCCUUUGAAAAUACUGGAAGUUGGAAAUGUAUUAGGAAAAUCGGUAAAAAUUUUCUUCCUACUAUUUGGAAUGAUUCCCACAUAAGAAUUCAAUACAAUACUUCUAGAAUAUUAAAGAGAUAUUAAAACAUCUCUACCUGUAGAAAACAAAAAUAUAAACUCACCUGACUUCUAAAGAGAGCAGUGGAAUAAAAUAGAUUGGGAAGAUUAAAAACAAGUCCUUUUGGCCCACCUUUUACCAAAACACUUUAAGCUAGGUAAAUGUUGAACUUCAGUUCAUCUAAAUUCCUCAGGUCUGUCAUCAGUUCUGUGACACAUUCUAAUGUUCUGAAUCAUUUGUGGUGAAUAAGCUCUCCCUUUUCUUCUUAUAGUGCUUAAAGUAACCAAUUUUGUGAGUUAUGAUUACUUAUUUUUAAAAAUUGAACUAUUGUUGUUUUCUCUUAGCAAAGUUGUCUAUCACCCAGUGAGUCCCAAGUGUAGAAAAGCCCUUGGCCAGUAACAUUGCCUACGCUUGGAGUUAGUUAAAAGGAAUGAGAGACUGACAACCCAGAUUCCGUUUUUAACCCAGCCAGAUACCUCAGCUGGCAAGCGGCUCAGCGCCCUCACCAUAAAAUGGGUAUAAUAAUAGCUUUCCUUACCACUGUGAAAUAUUUAGAAUGCAAUCAAGCCAAACCUGUCUCCUUCCAAAGAAAAGCUUAAACCACCCUGCAUAAUCCUGAAUGAGCCCAGAUUUUAAAGGGAAGCAUAAAAUGGGAAACACCUAGAGGUAGUAUAAUUUAGUGGUUAAAAAAAAUGUAGACUUUGGAAUAAUACAAACUUACAUGCUAGCAGCUGUGUGAUUUGAGACUAAAUUUUUUAAAUCCCCCCUCCUAAUAAAUUGUAAAUAACAGUAUUUUCUUAGUGAGGAUUAGAUGAUAUAGUGUACCAAUGCUUCUUAAACUCUUCCACUUGGAUUAUCCUCAAGAUAGUGAUCUGAGUGCCUGCUGAGACAUCGCCAGACACAGUGGACUUUUCAGUGAGGCCUCAUUUGUCGCUUUGAAAAUACAUACAAAUUUUGCUUUCUACUCUGUAGUAUAUUCUUAUGUUUCACCAAAUUGGAAAUUCUACAAGGACAAGACAGAAUCUAUUGUGUUUCUUCUAUAACAUCCAAGAAACAGUUAUUGGCUAGAAGAAUGAAUUACAAUAAGAAUUUAAGUUGCCCGCAAAGAAAACUGAUCCUCCAGGAAGUCAGGCAUGUCUUAGUAAUUCUGUAGCUUUGGGCACUCCAUGUUACACUCUCCAUACCCUAGGUAUACACAGAGUCAAACUGAAGAAGCUUUUACUUACCAAGAUGCCUGAAACCAUAUAAGGUACUCAGUAAAUUUUAGUAACUCUUUUUAUCAUUAUAAUUUCUCUGCUCCAUGCUUCUCUACCAUAGUAUAGGUAUGGAUCUAUGGACAAUUUAAAAAACAAAUUAUAAAAGGCUUCGAAGAUAGGCUCCUGAGAGGCAUUAAAGAAGCCCACGUGUCUCUGAGCACACAUGCUCACCCACUUAGAGCUCUAUUUCUUACAUGUCUUCCUUACUUCUGGCUUCAGCCUGUUGUGUUUUGUUAAAACUUCCUGAGGGCAAUGAGCAGUGAGAUUUAAAAAGGGGUUUUCUACUCUCCCUCAAGGUCAGGGGUAAGUAACCUGGGAUUCGUAAAUGAAUCUUCAUGGAGUCUGGGAAUUCCUUGAAACUUGGUAUUUUUGAGGAGUUUUUCUGAGGGAGGGAUUUGCAUAGGAAUCUGUUUUUCCUUUUUUUUUUUUUUUUUUUCUGGUACCGGGAAUCAAACUCAGGACCUUGUGCUUGUGAGUCAGCCGCGGUGCCACUGAACUAAAUCCCCCGCCCCUUGCAUAGGAAUCUGUAUCACCUCCAAAUGUUGGAAACCACUGCUACAAAAAUUGUGUAAAUUGAAAGUAGAAGUAACUAAUCUUUAAAAUUACAAGUAGUAAUACUUUUAGUUCCUUGAAUACUGACAUUGUAUAACAAUUUCUACUUGGAAAUCAUGAGGCUUAGACUCCACUGUAAGUUACCUCUUUUGCUUAUCUCUUUGCAUAAGCCCCCACCAUUAUGUUUUAAUGCCCUGAAUUAUUUGGCCUUUAUAGUUUGAUAUUCUCUACUCUUUUACAUAUCUCUGUGUUGAUCCUAGCAUGCUUAUUGUGAAUGUUUUAUGGAAAGCUCUUUGAAUUUUAGAUAAAAAUAAUUUACAGACAUAUAAGGUGAAUAUCUUUGAAAUAGAAAGGGCAUAUAUCUAUAACAUAACAAUUUGAACUGAACAAAAGUAAAUCUCUGCAGAUUAAUACAUAUUCUUAAAUUUUAAACACGUAUUGUAAUGCAAUCAAGAAGUAGGAGUCUUUUGAUGUUAAUGAACAUUUAUGAAUUGUAUAAAUCUGUGAGAUUAAAUCUUAGUCUUAGUAUUAAAUUUGGGAUCAGUAUUAUUGGUUUGCAUUAAUAUAUAAGGACAAUUACAUUCAAACAAAUCUUCAAUUUAACUUGGUUUUAAAUUGUGUUAGACUGUGACAUAUACUGUGAUUUUUCUCUUCAUCUUGGAUUCCUGUCAUUGACAGCCUGUGUGUCAUUUGACAUCCGGAAAGAUCAUUUUUCAUUCCAUACCUUGUUUGUAUUAGUCAAUUUAGGUACACUUUACAUUGAUCUCUUUUGAUCACAUCAAAAUUAAUUUUGACUAAUUUCAUGAAUAAAAUGUCCAUUGAAAUUUAGAAAAAGUUACAUGUUUAGACAUAUGAAUAUAAAUACUAAGUAUAGUCAAAAGAGCAUAAUAUAUUACUGAAAGUUAUUGGAUUUAUAACAUGCCAUAGAAAAGUGGAAACUUAACAUAUGUUUUAGAAAAUUGCUAACCAUAUUUUUUUUUUCUCCUGAAAGGUUGAGAAAGAAAGCAACCUCAAAAAAGUGGUGGAGAGGGGGUUAGAGAGAAAAAAGAAAGAAAAAAAGGAGAGAAGGAAACAGGGGAAAAUUCCUUGACCAUCAGUUUGUCACCUGCCCCUUCUCUUUAUGUAAGUAAAAGUGGUUUAUUUACCUUUUAAAAAGUUAUGUCAGAUUUGGGGAAUUUUGGUCUUUAUUGACAUCUUUGCUAGCUGACUUGGCCUCUAGCAUUUGUUUGGUGUGUGUUAGCUUCUUUCGUGUUUGGAGUUGAGGCUGUUGGUAGUAGUGGUAUGUUACCAUCCAGGUGGGAGCUGAAAAGACCAGCAGCCCAAGCUCCUGUUCCUAUAUAGACUGCCCUGUACUUGGCCAUGUUGCUAAUUUCAAAGGUCACUGCUCUUCUAAACUGCGGCUUACGUUUUUCUAUCAGUUAUCAGCCAUGAGUUGGGCUAUCAGUGAGUGCACAAUUAUUUAUUCUGCAGUUACUCACCUAUCUAUAGAUCCAACAGUUUUUAAUUUUAACUCCUAGAUCAGAGAUGUCUUUUUACUAAGGAGUAUAAGACAGAAAAUUGAAUAGACUAAAUUUUUGUGCAAAAUUUUUAAAGUUGGGGGAGAUUAAAAGAAAUCUAGGAUUCAUAUGUGCCAAUAGGCAUAUAAAAGAUACCAUUGUAUUUUAGAAAAAAAUGAGAAGUUAUUUGGGAAAAAAACAUUUGAUUUUAAGUGAAAAAAUUUUUUAUUGUUGUUAUUAUUAAUAGAACCAAACCAGGCUAAACUGCUAGGGUUUGGGUUUGAAUAUAUAUUACUCUGAGUUUCUUGAAAGAGGUUCUGGGGCAGCAAAACCAAAAGAUCAAAGUCAGUACAAGAGACACUGCCCAAGAAAUCCUACAGUGAGUGACAGUCACCUGAUGUGAUAAAUAAUCAUCAGCAUCCUUCUGGCUGCAUCUCACCCUCUGAUGCAUAUUGUCCAUUAAAAAUUAUGUCUUAUUUCACUGACUCUUUACUCCAAAGUAUUUCAUGUGUUGUAAUCAUCUGUACAAAGAGGAGGUUAGCAUGGCUUUUUUCCUUAUGUGUAGCUUCCACUAAUAUUCUUAGGAGCUAAUAGCAAAUAUAUUUAGGGGACCUGAGUCCUCCAAAGGAUUUUAAGGCUAAAGUCUAGUUUGACAUUUUAUUUGACAGAGAAAGGCUGGUGCUAUAUGUAAUGCAUUCAUACAGCAGGGGUGGGUCCUACCUUCCCCUGACACGUCUUGUUAUUCCCUGUUCUUGAUGUUGAUAGAGUAGGUCUGUUAAGGCUUUGGAAGAUGUCAGUGUGCAUACUUAUUGUUACCACUUUAUUUAUUUACAUCCUUCUCCUCAGUUACCCAGCACUGCAUAUUUCUAGUCUUCUGACUGGCAAAUCAUUUUUUGUUACAGUUCUUUUGUGUAAAACCAGUUCACAUAAUAGCUCUGUGUUAGACAAGGCAUUAAUCCUCACAUCACCAGAAUGAGUCAGCACCAUGCACUCCUGCCUGCACAGCUCAGCUAUUAUGACGUCAGUGCUUGAGGGCAAGCUUCAGACACAAGCAGUAUGAGAGACCUGUGUCACCUAUUAAAAAUCGAGGAGGAGAACUUUGAGAUAAAAGAUAUAAUUGAAAGGCUGUGUCUGGCUCAUAGAAAAAUGUAAAAUUGAUUCUGUGCUGCAUCAACCAUCAGUCAAGCAGCUUCUUGAGAGAUGGAAUUUUUUUAACCAGAUAUAAGAGGAGGGCAAAGACCUAUGGUAACUUGAUAAUCCGUUCAUAUACUCAUGACCUUGUCCCACCCUGGGACAUAGUUCAUGCUUGCUUGAAUUUUUCCAAAUUCUGAGGUUGCUUUUAUGCCAGCAAGGUGACGGUCCUGCUGUCCUCAAAUGCCCUGUGGUUGUGGCUGAUGGCUUCAGGGAUUGAGCCUCAGAGGCCCAUCAGAAAAAAAGGAACCAUUUCUUGCAAACAGAUCAGAACAUUAUCUCACCAGUGCUUCUCACUCCAAGUGCCUCUUCAGUGGCCUUCUCUGGAUAGGUGCAGAAUUCAGCAGUUUUGACCUCCCUUAGGCACUACAUUUAGUCCAAUGUCCCAAUCUGCAUUUGACCCCAAUUUCAAUAGUAACUGAAUAGCUGCCAGAUUUUUCCCAAGAGUUUUCCUUUCAAUUAGUCUUUUACAGAAACAAACAAACAAAUAAAAAGGAAUCCACCAUAACCUACCGUGCUGUUUUGAAGCAGGUAGCAGAGAGUCAUCCUAUGUGGGAAACCCUGUUCUUAUAAGUUAGGCCUCUCCACAGUUCAGACUGAGACACAUCCUUUAGACAGUGCCUUUCAGUAUUGAAAACCACAUUGUAAAUGGUGAUAAUUUACUGCCUUAGUGAUAUUCUCUGCUUUAAAAAAAGACAUUCCGGGCUAGGGAUUUAGCUCAGUGGUUCUGCCACAUUCCCCACAAGCACAAGGACCUGAGUUCAAUCCCCGGUACCAAAAAAAAAAAAAAAAAAGACAUUCCUCCAUCGCAGCAUCCAUGUCCCUGCCUUACUCUUACCCCAGCCAAUUAAUCACCAGCCUCUUUGAUAAUCAUCAGAAAAUGCCUUACUGCUGGGCUCUUCCACCUUCAUUAGAUUGAUAAUAGUCUCCUACCAUGCUUAUAAAAGCUAAUACUACUGUUUGGCUUAGUUUUGAUUCAUUAUGCAUAGAUCUUUAUUUUGUUUUCAGUUAACCAAUGUUUAUGGAAAACUUGUUACUAUACUAUGUUCUGGGAACUCCAAAAUAAAUAAGACAUGAUCCUUUUUAAAAAAUGUUACAGUAUAAUAGGGGAGAAAAAUAAGUGAAUAAAGACUAUCUUAUGUGAUAGGUGUAGGAGUGUAGGUACACCCAAGAUGUAUGAAGAAGAAUGAGAAAGGAGUGCCCGUCUGCAUGUGGGGAGGUGUCCAAGAUGAUUCUUAAAGUCAAAACAAUGAAUAUCAGUAUACCAGCUGGAUAGAGGAGAGGUAAAAGGAAGAGGAUUCAUAAUCAAGUAAAACAUGAGAACAUUUAUAAAGUCAAGAGGCAUCAAGUUAUAGCCAGGUCCAUAGGACUGAUUGGUUUUGUGUUGCUGGAGCUCAGUAAGUUGAUUAAAAGAGUAGCAUAAGAGAUGGAGGUGGGAAAGCAGGCAGGGGGAAGAUCACAAAAGGCCCUUGUAUACCAUGCAAAGGAGUCCGGACUUCCUUCUUCAGGCUCAAAGAGAUUUUAAAGAAUUUAAAGAAAAUUUACGUUUUGGAAAGAGCACUCUAUUGUUGAGAUGGCUGACUGAGAAUAGGGAAACCAGGUCAAAGGUGAAAACCAAGGGCCCCAACUGUUCAGUUAGGUCUGGAGUAGAACAGAGAGGCUAUUUGGGAGUAUUGACAUAGGCAUUAACAUUUGCAGAAUUCCAGCAUAUCUUGGCCCACUGCAUAAACCUGCCUUCUAGGAGAAAGGUUAAUAUGUUGAAUGAGGCCAAAUUUCAGACCAAAAUACAUCCUUAUGGGAGCUUCACGGGAGAAUCUCUCUCACCUUACUCUGAGCUGCUGGUCUCCAGGAUUGUGCGUAUCCUGCCCAAAGUAGGCAUGAGGCAAGAGGAAAGGGAGCAGAUAAGAAGAAAAUGUUGCUUUUCUUUCACCUGAAAAUCAAACCAUUUCCUAAUAAUGUCUCCUUAAAGUCAGUUAAUGCCCCAAUUUCCUAUUGUUUUCCCAUUGCUGCUUUUUCCAAGCAGAAUUUUCAAGCCAUUGAACUGAAUUGCAACUUAUGCACAGCCCGGGUGUUGAAAUAGUAAAGUAUAUUCAUCCCUUCUCUCUGAAUGAGAGUUCACCAUAAGUGUGCUUUUCUCUUGUUCACUUUGGGCUUCCAGGACAGUUUAAAGGAAAUGUUCAACAGCUUAUGUCUCACGUACCCUGUUCGCGAGACAAACGGGAAGAUUUGCGUGGGUGUGUUUAAGUCUUCUCUAUAUUGCUUCCUAGAGAAAGGUUUGAGAAGAUGAACAAGAUGGGGAGUAGGGACCUACUGAAAGCCCAGGUCUCUCAGUGACCUGAGUGCAGAACAUAGGCUGGUGAUCAGAUGGUCAAUUAUGUGUUUGUCAAAACACAGUGGGCUGCAUUCCAGAUUGCCAGCUUUGGAGGCCCAGUUUCUGCCAACCAAAUGUCAUCUGGGAACAUGCAACACUGGGCACUGUGAAGGAGUUUGAAAUAGACCACGCCACAGCCAACCUACUGCCACUCUUAUAGCACCAAUAUGGCAUGCACAGCCGGGCCCCAUGUUUCAGAGCUCAGGAAUUCACUGUACUAAAUUCAGGAGGUCAGAUGGGUUCAUGUUUUCAAAGCCUAUGUUCUCUGCUUUGAACACUGUGACUUGCUGCUCAACAAUUUCCAGGGGAUUUUUCCAGUCCCCUGUCUGUGGAAACCACUCUUUUUGUGAUGGUUAUGAGAGCCUUGUAAAUGUCCUGGAGGAAAAGGAAAAAAAUAAACUUGCUCUGACAAUGACUGUGAUUCCUACAAGGGAUUCCAACUCUUAGGAAAUUACAUUAAAGGUGCAUAGCUUUUAAAAUAUCAGGAACCACCUUGGCAACUUAUGAAAAGCAGAAGGGCUUUGCCUAUUUUAUAAAGUGAUUUGCAUAUACCUGCAUAAAUAAUGUCCCCACCUGUACUUUUAUGCAUUUAGGUUGAAUAAAUUAAAUUCAGUGAUCUUUAAAAUAUUCACUGUCUUUCAUUGCUAAGACUCCAUUUUCAGGACCCUUCUCUCUUUUUUUUUUCUUGUAGUGGUAGUGGCUUAUUUUUUUUUCCCAGCUAAUUCAGAGAAUCAAAACACUGUGCAGACCAGUCUACCACAGCCAGGAGUAUCGUCUCCCGCUGCUUGAAUUUCCCUUAGUUUUCUAUCUAUCGAGCCAUGUCCCAUAUACUUUUCAAGCUAGAAAAUGGAGGAAUAUAUUACUAAGAUGAAAGCAUGGCACAAGAUAGGAUUAAGCUCUGCUACCUAUAUGUAUAUUCAGACUUUUCUUUCUUUGAGCACUGCCAUAGCCCCUUCAGAAACAAUCCAGCUACCUAUCCCAUAACAAUUUUAAGUCGGGCCUUCAAACCGAAGCCUGGCUCAGUAGGCCAGUCUCAGCCACAGUCAUUCCAUAAGAUAUUAUUAAGCACUUAUUAUGUACAAAGAAUCAUGUCUAGUGGAGAAUUAAAACAUAAAUACAGGAUAUUGACCUUAUUGUAAAUGAAUUUGAAAUUGAGUUAGAAAAGAAGUUAUACUGUGGAGUAUUUUGUAUGUUCAUAAGACGGUAAAUGUUGAAGUUGCACAAAGAAUGAUUUAGUCCAGGAGGAACUAUAAGAUUUCAUUCUUGAGAUCUUGAGAGCUAGAAAUUUACAUAUAAAUGUAAAAUGUGAUUCAAAUCGAUCUUUAAAAGUGGCUAGAAUGCAAAAAAGAUAUGGAGAAUGAUAUUUCAAACAAAAGCACUGGGAUCUUUGAGCAGGUCUAUAAGUAGCACUGUUCUUCUUCACCCAAAUUCUAAACCCACUGAAAAAUGAGACAAAAGAAUUGAUAGCUGGGGAAUCAAAAUUCUGUAAAUGUUGGUUGAAGAGUAUAGGAAAAUGGGCUCACUGACUCCCUUCCCUUCACCAUGAACUUUGAAAAACUUUCCUAAGGGAUAAUUUGGACCUUCAUAUAACCAAUACUUUUCCAGGUCAUAAUUCCCACUAGUCUAAGUAGUAAAGAAGGGAGAAUGAGGCUAAACUGUACUUACAAACUGAUAGAUCAAUUCUAUGUAAAUGAGAAAUAUGGACCACAGGCUGUUUUACCAACAAGAUGAUUUGUUUCUAUGGAGAAGUAUAAGGAAUGAGGCAAGAGGUAAACAGUGUUCAGAAAACUUGUUUGUGGAAACUCGGAAUAAGGAAGAUAUAGUCUUAACCAACAUGAAGAUCCACAAGCUGGAAAAUAGGAGCAAGUGAGAUGAACUAGAAGUGGGAUGAAAAUGCAGAACCAAGAGGCUAGAAAAUUUUUUCAUCUGUCUAAGGGGUACCCCUGGGACUAGAAUCAGCAGUCAUUGUGGUUAGCCAAGUGGUUAUACUGAGGACUGCUUUUGGGUGUCUCAAAGUUAUUAGCAACAGAACCUGGAGUAACAGGCAAACAUAAAUAAAUAAAUAAACCUAUUAGGAAAAGAAACACAAACACUUGUAUCUCUUAUUAAACUAAUAACAACAAUAGGACAUAAUGUGGACAUAACAUUUAUUGAAUACUUGCCUUGCUUUUGGUACUAGAUUAAAUACUUUUAAUGGCUAUCUGAUUUAAUUUAUAAAGCUAUAAUAUUAUGUAGAUGCUGUUAUAAUAGUUGUGCAGAUGAAGAAAUUGAGAUUUAGUAAUGUGAUUUUCUCCAGUAGUUCAGUGACCAACAUGAAAAGACAUAAGAAAUGUGUAUUUCAGUUCAAAUUAUGGUGGGGUUUCACCAGUGUUUGUAGACAGGAAUUGCAGUUUUAGUUUUUCUUUUUUGUUGUUUUUGUUUUUGUUUCCCAUCUUUGGUUCUAGCUGAGGCCAGUGUAGAAGGGCAGUGAAAAGGCUCAGCUAAAUUAUCCAAGCAUUUAUUGGGACCUACAUUGUGUGUGAUCCAGAAAAUACUUAGAUGAAUAAGGCACUAUCUCUGCCUUCAAAAAGCUCCCAAUCUAGGGUGGUCUGAAGGCUGCCAUCUGGCCCAAGAGACUAGGAGCAGUUGAUUAAUCUUUGCUAAAAGACAAGAGGACUCACAUCUCCCUUUUCUUUUUCUUUCUUUUUUUUUUUUGCUGGCUCCUUCCCUUCCUCUACUCUCCCUACCCUUUCCAUUCCCAGUCAUUGUUUUUUUUCCUCAAAAAAUAUCUCUCUGCCUUGUUGCCAAGCCUCUAAUAAGCUUCAAGCAUAUAUGAAUGACAAGUCUGAUUUUUCUCACUAUCAUUUUGCUAAAAUUUGACCAUUUAGAAGCAAUUAGAUCAUCUACUUGAAGUGGUGUAUAGCAUGAAUUUUCUCUAAAUUUUCAGAGCUGGCAUCUAACUAUUCAAAAGGUUAUUUAAGAGGAAAUGAGAGAUGAAGGAUGGGUAGGUUGGAGAGAGAAAAAAAGGAAAGAAAGAAGGAAAGGAAGGAGGAGAAAAAUGUAGGAAAAGAAAGAAGGCUAAUUACAGAAGACUUUUAGGGAGUUCAAAAUGGAACUCUGAUUUGAAAUGAAUAAAUGAGUUUCUGUCUCUAGUGUUGAUCUAAACCAUCAGCUUCCAGAGUGGAAACCUGAAGCAACCAGAAUAUUAUAGAUUGAUGAAAUUCCAGCUGCUGGCAGAUUUUUUUUUAGUUUUUAAAAAAAAUCAUAUUAGUACAUAUGUGCAGUAUAUGAUGAUUACAUUCCUUACAUGGAGUUGAUACAUGUCCAUAACACGUUUUAAUUUUUUCACCCCCUUUCCUUUCUCUCCCUUUGUACUCCCUCCAUCUCUUGAUUCCGUUCCCAUUUAAGAAAGAUCUAUCUUCCUCCUUUCUAUUGUCAAUCUUUUAUUUUGCACUUUAUUUAUAUUUUAAGUAAAAACCAUAUGACACUUAAACUUGUGUGUCUACUUUAUUUAACUUAGCAUUAUCCAUUUCCCUACAAAUGACCUGUUUGUGCUUCCUUAUGGCAGAAUAGUGCUCCAUUGUGUGUAAAUGCUACAUUUUCUGUACCCAUUCAUCUGUUGAUGAACAUAUAGGCUGCUUCCAAGAUUUAGCUACUAUGGAUUGUGCUGCUAUAAAUAUGGAUAUGCAUGUAUCACUGUAACAUGCUGCUUUUUGGGGAAGACACCAAGAAGUAGAGUAGCUGGAUCAAAUGGAAUUUUUAGUUUUAGUUUUUUGAGGAAUCUCCAUACUGAUUUACAUGGUGAUUGCAAUAGUUUACAUUCUCACCAAAAAUGAAAAAAGGUUCCUUUUCCGCACAGCAUCACCAGCAUUUUUAUUAUUUGAUUUUUUGAUGAUGGCCAUACUUUCUGAAAUAAGAUUAUAUCUCAGUCUUGUUUUAAUUUGCAUUCCAGUAAUGGCCAGCAGUGAUGAACAUUUCCUAAUGUAUUUAUUGGCCAUUAGUAUGUCUUCUGAGAAGUGUCUAUUCAUUUCAGUUUCCCAUUUUUUCAUUGUGUCUUUUAUUUGGGAAGUGUAACUUUUUUUUGAGUUCUUUAUAUAUUCUAGAUAUUAAUCCUCUGUGUGAGGAAUAGCUGACAGUUUAAGAGAAUAUAUAAAGAGGAUGUGAAGGAGGUGAAAAAUCCUAAUUUCUGGUAGAAUCCUUUCCUGAGAUUUAUUCUGAGCAUUAUAAAAUGAUACUUUAAGAAGAAGUAAUAACAUAAUGCCUUUCCUUUAUUGAAGCACAUUCUAUUCUGCUAAAUUCCCUUUAGGAAAUAACAUUAGGACCAUUUGAAUCAAAAUUAAAUUGCAGAUACAUCUGGGGUAAAAUUUACCAGCUGUUGAGUGAAGGAGCUGUAUUUUUUAAUAUUUACUUCUUAUAUGAUUGUAUAAUUUAUAAUUAUUAUAAAAUGUUAAGAAAGCAGAGAGUAAGCAGAAAACAUCCAUAAUCCCAUUACAUUGAAACAACCAUUAUUAACAAAUUUUUAGAUCACCUUCAAGUGUCUUUGCUAGACUUUAACAUAAUUGUGCAUAUAUUUCAUACAUAAGGUUGUAUCUUAUUUUUAAUUCAGUAUUAUUUUUUAAAUUUUUUCCAUUAAGUUUAUUGGUACAUUUUAGGUAUAAAAUACAGUUACAUUCAUCAUUGGGAUCUUGUACCUUUACAUGAGUAUCUUGGUUCUUAUUUUUUUCUCCUUCCCCUGCCCUCCCUUCAACCCCUCUACCCUUCCCUAUUUGCAAAGACUGUUUCCCUUUUUUUCCUUUUCUCAUAUAUUUUCUUUUCCCUUCUUUCCUUUCCCCUACCCCUCCCACUUCCCCUACUCCUUUAGACCUUUUCUUCCUAUGACACAAUCUCAAUUAUACAUUUUUUAAAUUACAAUAUCAAGAUCUAGGAGACAUUACCACAUAUUUUAUAGAAUUUAAAAGGAUAUAGAAGGCAUAUUACAAAAAUCUUUUUUGAAAUAAAUUUGACAACUUCUAAGAAAUACCUUGGAAGACAAAUUAAUGAAACUAUGGAGGAAAUAUAAAAUUUGAAUAGCAACUAUUAAAGAAAGUAUAUUCCCAGCUUGAAAACCUACCUUUAUGACAACAGCAGACUCAUAUACAUUUUAACUGAUAAAUUAUAUCAAACAUUUAAAGCAGAAAAAAGAAGGAACACUUCUCCCCUCAUUUUAGGAAAUCAACGUUGUACUAAUACUAAAACUGGAUAAAGAUAAUAGAAGAAAAAAAGUAUGAACAUACAUAAAAAUUUGUUUAACAAAACAAACUAUUAGCAGUCAGAUUUGGCAGUAUGUAGAAAGUGGUUUUGUUAUAGGGAUGGCAGUGUUGGUUCAGCAUUGGAAGAUCCACCCCCAAAAGUCAUCAUUUUAACAGAGGACAGGAAAAAGCCAUAUGAUCCUGUCAGUAUUUGGAAAAAAAAGUAUUGGAUUAAAUUCUACAGCUGUUCAUGGUAAAAACUAUCAGGAGACUAGAAGUAGAACAGUACCUUCUCAACAGAUCAAAGACAUGUACUCCAUACUUCCAGCAAAAACGCCUUAUAUAAAUGGAGAAGAUACAAUGCUUUCUCCCUAAGGUGAGGAACAAGGGAAGAUAGGCCUAUUCUUCAUCUGUCCAUUAAACUUUGAAACAUAGGCCCAAACCAAAAUAGUCUGGCAGGGCCGGGGAUUUAGCUCAGUGGUUCCGCUGCCUGCCUCGCAAGGGGAAGGACCCAAGUUCAAUCCCCGGUACCAAAAAAAAAAAAAGGGAACUGAAGCUCAGGCCAGGGAUUUAGCUCAGUGGUUCUGGCGCCUGCCUUGCAAGGGGAAGGACCCAAGUUCAAUCCCUGGUACAAAAAAAAAAAAAAAAAUCAUCUGGCAAUAAAAUGAAACAAUUAGGAUAGGAUUGGCAAGGUAGAAGUAAAAUCUUUAUAUUCUUUAUAUGUAGAUGAAAUGAUCAUCUACAGAGAAAAUGCUAAGAAAUCUCUAGGAGCCCCUAGAACUUGUAUUUGAAUUUAGCAGGAUUAGAAAACACAGGGUAUAUAUAAAAGUUCAGGUCUAUGUAUACUUGCUAUAAAUGAAGAAUUGGAUAUUGAAAUUUAAAAGUUAUGUAGAAGUACACAGGACCUAGAAAAGUAAAAAGAAAAAAAAAACAGUGUUUGAAGACAUUUAGUACCUAAUUUUAAGACUUCCUCUAAAGCUACAGUAAUCAAGUCAGUGUUGGUGUAAGGAAAGACAUAUAGAUCAUUGGAAUAAAACAGAGAAUCUAGAAAUAGAACCACACAUAUAUGGUCCACUGAGUUUUGAAAGAUUAUUUAACAUUAAUGUUUUAUAGAACAUAAACUCAAUUCAAGAGCAGAGGAAAAGAUAGUGUUUUCAGCAAAUGACACUAGAAUACCUGGUAUCCGUAUAUAAAAAAUUAACCUCAACCCUUUAUUUCCAUACAUAAAAAUAUCUUGAAAGGAUCUAUGAACUUAAAUAUGAGAGAUUAAAAAAAAGAAAUUAUCAGGGAAAAUGUUUAUGAAUUUAGGGUAGGCAAGAAUUUCUAGGAUAGAAAAAACAGGAUGUAUAAAGGAAAAAAUUGAUAAAUGAGAUUCCAUUAAAAUUUAGAACUUUAAAUGACAUCAUUAAGAAAAUGAAAAGUAAUCCUUAAACAGACCAUAUUUACAAUGCAUAUAACCUAUGACCAGAAUAUGUAAAGAACACUUGCACCUCAUUAAUAGACAACUCAAUUGAAAAGUAGACACAAGAAGAUGAUAAAUAGCCAGUAUAGCACAGGGAAAGGUGUGCAACACUAGAAUCAGAAAAAUACUAAUCAGUACAAUAACAAGAUUGAAUUAUACACUCAUUAGGGAGAUGAAGUUAAAAGUUUUAAAAGAACAAAUGUCAGCUUAGGUAUGAACCAAUUAGAACUUUCUAAUACUGCUAAUGUGAAUGUAAAAUGAUAAAACCAUUUUGGAAAAUAAUAUAGAAAUUUCUUGUAUUACUGUUAAGAACCAACAGUUCUGUUCUUAAGUUUUUACUUGAGAGAAAUGAAAACACAUGUUCACAAUAGAUUUGUAUAUACAAGUUGACUAUCCCUUAUCUGAAAUUCUUGGGACCAGAGUGUUUCAGAUUUUCAUUUGAAAUCCACUUGAUCUACAAAGAGGAUAGCUACUUCUGCUUUUUUUUUUUUUAUUCCUGUCACGUGGAGUAUUGUUUUCUACCCUUUUACUUUCAGUCUGUGAGUUUCUUUUUGAAUUAAAUGUGUUUCUUGUAUGCAGCAUAUUGUUGGAUCUUGCUUCUUGACCCAUUCUGCCAGUCUAUAUCUUUUGAUUGAUGAAUUGAGACCAUUAACAUUGAUGGUUAUA